CACCGCCGCGGGAAUACGGAGGGUGCAAGCGUUAAUCGGAAUUACUGGGCGUAAAGCGCACGCAGGCGGUCUGACAAGUCAGAUGUGAAAUCCCCGGGCUUAACCUGGGAACUGCAUUUGAAACUGGCAGGCUAGAGUCUUGUAGAGGGGGGUAGAAUUCCAGGUGUAGCGGUGAAAUGCGUAGAGAUCUGGAGGAAUACCGGUGGCGAAGGCGGCCCCCUGGACAAAGACUGACGCUCAGGUGCGAAAGCGUGGGGAGCAAACAGGAUUAGAUACCCCAGUAGUCCCUGUCUCUUAUACA
This 301-nucleotide ribosomal RNA is filed under the name uncultured bacterium. Its description in RNAcentral is "partial 16S ribosomal RNA". It matches the Rfam family "Bacterial small subunit ribosomal RNA", at positions 510 to 808 of the family's 1533-position model. The record is from RNAcentral.